RNAcentral lists this ribosomal RNA (383 nucleotides) under uncultured bacterium. RNAcentral describes it as "bacterial SSU rRNA". It matches the Rfam family "Bacterial small subunit ribosomal RNA", at positions 29 to 416 of the family's 1533-position model. The record is from RNAcentral.
AUUGAACGCUGGCGGCAUGCCUUACACAUGCAAGUCGAACGGUAGCGCGGGGCAACCUGGCGACGAGUGGCGAACGGGUGAGUAAAGCAUCGGAACGUGCCCUGGAAUGGGGGAUAACGUAGCGAAAGUUACGCUAAUACCGCAUAUUCUGUGAGCAGGAAAGCAGGGAAUCGCAAGACCUUGCGUUCUGGGAGCGGCCGAUGUCGGAUUAGCUAGUUGGUGGGGUAAAAGCCUACCAAGGCGACGAUCCGUAGCGGGUCUGAGAGGAUGAUCCGCCACACUGGGACUGAGACACGGCCCAGACUCCUACGGGAGGCAGCAGUGGGGAAUUUUGGACAAUGGCGGAAGCCUGAUCCAGCCAUGCCGCGUGAGUGAAGAAGGCC